Long non-coding RNA from Papaver somniferum (opium poppy), 340 nucleotides. RefSeq lists it as uncharacterized. The record is from RefSeq and is a predicted model, not a curated record. The transcript is spliced from 3 exons. Lineage: Eukaryota; Viridiplantae; Streptophyta; Magnoliopsida; Ranunculales; Papaveraceae.
AUUGAAAAUAGGAAAUUCCAUGUUUUCCCCAUCAGUUUCCUGCAAACCAAUAAUCCUAAUGAAGAUUGUCCUACGAUUCAAAAACGUGGAUCCAUAACAGCAUAAGAAGUAUGAUUUCAUACCAAAUAAGGUGAUCAACUAUGUCAGGCCGAAUGCAGUGGCGGUAGAUUGAGCUGUGCGAACAACGUCGUGCCGUUUUAAUGAAAAGGAAGGAUGUUAACUUGUUUGAGAAGUUUUGCGAUUGCAUAGACGUGAUAAACAUGAGCAUAGAGAUUCUAAUGUAGUUGUGAGAAUAAUUCUUUGUAUCUUCAUUGAUAGGCAAAAGCCUGAUUUAUACAUG